GACGAACGCUGGCGGCGUGCUUAACACAUGCAAGUCGAGCGGUAAGGCCCUUUCGGGGGUACACGAGCGGCGAACGGGUGAGUAACACGUGGGUGACCUGCCCUCAGCUCUGGGAUAAGCCUGGGAAACCGGGUCUAAUACCGGAUAUGACUCCAUGACGCAUGUUGUGGGGUGGAAAGCCUUGUGCGGCUGAGGAUGGGCCCGCGGCCUAUCAGCUUGUUGGUGGGGUGAUGGCCUACCAAGGCGACGACGGGUAGCCGGCCUGAGAGGGCGACCGGCCACACUGGGACUGAGACACGGCCCAGACUCCUACGGGAGGCAGCAGUGGGGAAUCUUGCGCAAUGGGCGAAAGCCUGACGCAGCGACGCCGCGUGCGGGAAGAAGGCCUUUAGGGUUGUAAACCGCUUUCAGGAGGGACGAAGCUCCUCGGGUGAAUAGCCCCAGAGGGUGACGGUACCUUCAGAAGAA
RNAcentral lists this ribosomal RNA (468 nucleotides) under uncultured bacterium. Its description in RNAcentral is "bacterial SSU rRNA". It matches the Rfam family "Bacterial small subunit ribosomal RNA", at positions 28 to 489 of the family's 1533-position model. The record is from RNAcentral.